GGAUAUGUUGGAGAAAGGAUCUUAAAUAUGGAGCUGAAAAGAGAAAGACCACAGAGAAGAUUCAUGGAUAUACUGAAGCAGAGCAGGCAGAGGGGGGCAGUGAGAGACGCUCACACUCUGCAUCCACGCUGACAGGAAGGCACCUCGAUGAAGGUAAUAAAUGUACGCAAGCCCCGGGCCAUGAGACCAGCUGCUGACUGAUGCACGAUUACAUAUAAAUCCAUCCUUGUUAAGAAAUUGUGUCCAGUCAUGGAUACUACCAUAAUAACCGUCCCUCGGAGGGUUGUCACCAAGCCAGUGGUGCAGAGUGGAAGCCAGUGCCUGUUAUCAGAUGACUGGAAUAUUUUAAC
Long non-coding RNA from Oreochromis niloticus (Nile tilapia), 350 nucleotides. RefSeq lists it as uncharacterized. Lineage: Eukaryota; Metazoa; Chordata; Actinopteri; Cichliformes; Cichlidae. The record is from RefSeq and is a predicted model, not a curated record. The transcript is spliced from 3 exons.